AAUUUCAAAUAUACCUCGCGUCCGUUCCUCUUUUACAAGCUUCGCGUCUGUUCCUCUUCUCUCGGUCACUCAUCUUUCUUCUUCUCUCCUCUUCCCUUUUUCCUCUCUCCACCUUCUCCCCGAUGCCACCACCACCCCAUCUCCACAUUCCUCCACCGCUCCCAUUCUCCUUUCCUCCAGUGGAACCGUUAAAAACCCUAACCCCCAAAAAACACAAACCCCCUACUGCCUGGACUUCUCGGUGUUCGUAACCUAGUAGGAAACUUGCAUUGUGUCACGAGCAAGCUGAGACCAACUUGCAUUGUGUUUAACGAGAGGCGGAUCAACGCUCUAAAGGGCGUGUGCAGAAUGUCGUCACACACGUCGUUCGAGGUUCUGGUGGCCCACAUGUGGAGGAGUUGGGCGAGGGUGAUGGGGUUUCUUCCUAAAAACCAGACGCUGAAGCUUUUGUUUAGCGUGAACAUGCGGAAGCGCGUGAAUCCAGGACUACCAGAGGGGUAUUGUGGGAAUGCGCACAAACAAGCGCGUGGGAGUUGGGGGAGAGAGGGGUCAGGUACGGGUCGGGUCUGGUGAAGCGUGCGAAGGAGAGGGUGGACAAUGUGCACGUGUGGAGGGUGGUUGAGUUGGUGUCCAAGUUGAGGGUGAGUCCUAACUCGGUGGGGGUGUUGAUUCUGUCGCAGUGGUCGAGGCUGGGUCUUGAGAGGGUUGAACUUAGGAUGGGGAAGCCUCUGCAUGUGGGGCCCAUAUGUUGUGAUAGGUACUGCUUGUUUCUUCCGGUGACCGGUGAACGGCCGAGUGUGAAGGUCAUGGUGGCUGUCCCCACCAUCACCAUCGACAACUUUCACCGUUUCCUUCGGGAAUCGAAUUUAUGACCUAACCACAACCUACCAGGUUACGUCACGUUGACCUUUGUAAUUAUUCUUCACUAGUUCCUGUGCUUUUUCUUCAACAAAAAUAAAAUAAAAAACAAACCAAUUAUUCCUACCAAAAACCUGAUCAGGUGGUUGUGACCAUAUUUGCAAAGAAAAUCCCAAAGGAAAGCAUUACUGUUGACUUCGGUGAACAAAUUCUAAGUGUUAGUAUUAAUAUCCCUGGAGAAGAUGUAUAUGUUUUUUAGCCUUGCUUAGUUGGAAAGUGGAACUACUGCUGCUGCAUUACAAGCAGGCACACCACAGGUUGGAGUAGAGCUUUGAGUUCUAUCCUUGAUGUCAAUGUGCUUGAUUCAAGAAGAUUAAGCAUAUGCAUGGGGAGCCUACCUAAGACUAACAAUGGGAGCCUACCUAAUUUGACCUUGAAGCCACAAUCAUGGACAAAGGUAAGUAGCAUUAUAUUUGGGGAUCUGCCUGCGGGUACUGGCUUCUCUUAUCCCAAAACAGAACGUGCUGUUCAGCAAAGUAGCUCUAAGCUUGUUCGCCAUGCUCAUCAAUUUAUUAGGAAGAGGUCGGAAGAGGGCUUGUGUGACUUACUGCAUAACCUACAUUUUGAGUUGCAUCACCAAGCAUUCUCCUCAAUACAAAGUCCUGAUGUUGGGCCGCAUUUUGGGAGGUAUUGCCACUUCACUUCUGUUUUCAUCAUUUGAAUCAUGGCUUGUUGCUGAGCACUUCAAGAGGGGCUUUGAUCAACAAUGGUUGUCAUUAACAUUCUCUAAGGCUAUAUUUCUUGGAAAUGGUCUUGUUGCUAUUUUGUCUGGGCUGUUUGGAAAUGUACUUGUUGAUACAUUGGCUCUUGGACUUGUGGCCCCCUUUGAUGCUGCUUCAUGUUUUCUUGCUAUUGGUGUGGCCAUUGCUUUGGGUAGAUUUCUUACCUUAAAAUUUAUUUUUCUCAUUUUAAUACUGCAAAUUUGAACUUUGAAACAUUUUAUGCAUGAUGUUAAUCUUUUUAACAUUUAAUUGUGCCCCAUUUAGAUGUUGUUUUUGUCAUUUUAUAAUAAUGUUUUUAUUAUUUUAAUUUUUUUUUUCAAAAUAACAUUCUAAAAUGGUCGUUAGCUAAUGACCGUCUUAGAAAGUUACCUUUCUAAGACAGUUGUUAGCUAAUGAUUGUCUUAGAAAGGUACUUUCUAAGAUGAUUAAGAGCAUAACCUAUCCAUACGUAGAGAUAAUUGUUAGGUAUGGACGAUAACUCUUUGCAUCUAUCUUGGAUUUUGAUGAAUAACAAUAAGUAUAAAUUAUUGAUGUUCUAAUGAUUUUUGAAAAGUGAACAAGAUCAAAUGCUAAAGGACUUAACAAUACUCUGUAUCAUCCAUACUCCAAGAGAAAUUCCUCUCUUUACUAUCUAUCCAGUGCCUAACUAGCUAAAAUCAAAAGGCAUCCACUCAUUAUAAUAAUCAGUGUUAUACAUUGCGUUUUGGUUAUCCCACACAUCCGACUAGUAAGAAACAAACAUAUCUUUUAAAAUGUCUAUGAUAGCCGAAAAAUGGAAGUAUGCACAUUCUAUCUUAUACAAAUUCAUUUUGCUUUUCUUUAUUUUGAAUUACUAACAUUUGAAAUUAAGGAAAUGACAAAAUAGAAUGUAUUCAUAGAGAAUUCCUUAAAGAUCGUUUUUGCCAAGGAUAAGGAGCACAUGGUAUUAUCAGUACUAUCGUACAAUUCCUCGUAAAUCAGAGCAUGCCACUUAGUCAUAUCUUCCAAUGUGAGACAAUAGUUUUUUCAAGGAAUUGACAUUGAUCCUAUAAUGUAUCCUUCACUGAAGUAUAUAAAAGGUUGUCUCUACCCAAAAAUUGAAGUGAGAAGUGGUAUAGUUUUCAUUUGUUUAUUCUUUGCUAAGCAAAGUAAUCUUGUAUUUGAGGUUUAUUGUUUACUCAUUCAUUGAGUGUUAUUGAAUACUUGUAUUCAUUCAAACUAUUGUUUAUGAAAGUCGAGAGUGGCUUAGUGUUAAAUAAUACUUGGUUAUUUAGAUUCACGAGGAGUCUAAGAAAAUGUUAGAAGUGGUAUUAAUAAUACUUGUAAAGCCAAGAGUGACAAGUUAAAAUAUUUGUUUUGUAAGCAAGUUUUGAUUAGUGAAACCCUUUACAAGUACAGAA
Molecule: RNA transcript, 3019 nt
Organism: Glycine soja
Lineage: Eukaryota; Viridiplantae; Streptophyta; Magnoliopsida; Fabales; Fabaceae
Gene name: molybdate-anion transporter-like
Exons: 7
Source: RefSeq, a predicted model, not a curated record